RNAcentral lists this ribosomal RNA (842 nucleotides) under uncultured bacterium. Its description in RNAcentral is "bacterial SSU rRNA". It matches the Rfam family "Bacterial small subunit ribosomal RNA", at positions 21 to 906 of the family's 1533-position model. The record is from RNAcentral.
GGCUCAGGAUGAACGCUGGCGGUAUGCUUAACACAUGCAAGUCGAACGGUCUUUUCGGAGAUAGUGGCGGACGGGUGAGUAACGCGUAAGAAUCUACCUUCAGGUUGGGGACAACCACUGGAAACGGUGGCUAAUACCGAAUGUGCCGAGAGGUGAAAGGCUUGCUGCCUGAAGAAGAGCUUGCGUCUGAUUAGCUAGUUGGUGUGGUAAGAGCGCACCAAGGCGACGAUCAGUAGCUGGUCUGAGAGGAUGAUCAGCCACACUGGGACUGAGACACGGCCCAGACUCCUACGGGAGGCAGCAGUGGGGAAUUUUCCGCAAUGGGCGAAAGCCUGACGGAGCAAUACCGCGUGAGGGAGGAAGGCUCUUGGGUUGUAAACCUCUUUUCUCAGGGAAGAAAAAAAUGACGGUACCUGAGGAAUAAGCAUCGGCUAACUCCGUGCCAGCAGCCGCGGUAAUACGGAGGAUGCAAGCGUUAUCCGGAAUGAUUGGGCGUAAAGGGUCCGCAGGUGGCAUUGUAAGUCUGCUGUUAAAGAGUUUGGCUCAACCAAAUAAAAGCAGUGGAAACUACAAAGCUAGAGUAUGGUCGGGGCAGAGGGAAUUCCUGGUGUAGCGGUGAAAUGCGUAGAUAUCAGGAAGAACAUCGGUGGCGAAGGCGCUCUGCUAGGCCAAAACUGACACUGAGGGACGAAAGCUAGGGGAGCGAAUGGGAUUAGAUACCCCAGUAGUCCUAGCCGUAAACGAUGGAUACUAGGCGUAGCUCGUAUCGACCCGAGCUGUGCCGUAGCUAACGCGUUAAGUAUCCCGCCUGGGGAGUACGCAGGCAACUGUGAAACUCAAAG